This 329-nucleotide ribosomal RNA is filed under the name uncultured eukaryote. RNAcentral's name for it is "partial 18S ribosomal RNA". It matches the Rfam family "Eukaryotic small subunit ribosomal RNA", at positions 1470 to 1796 of the family's 1831-position model. The record is from RNAcentral.
CCCUUAGAUGUUCUGGGCCGCACGCGCGCUACAAUGAUGAAUUCAACGAGUUUAUAACCUUGGUUGAAAAGCCUGGGUAAUCUUUUGAACUUUCGUCGUGAUGGGGCUAGACCCUUGCAAUUAUUGGUCUCCAACGAGGAAUUCCUAGUAAACGCAAGUCAUCAGCUUGCAUUGAUUACGUCCCUGCCCUUUGUACACACCGCCCGUCGCACCUACCGAUUGAAUGGUCCGGUGAAAUCUUCGGAUUGAGACUUUGUUUUCUUCACGGAAAACGCUGUUUUAAAAAGUUGAUUAAACCUUACCAUUUAGAGGAAGGUGAAGUCGUANCA